ACUGAAAUUUGUAUAAAAUCACAGAAAAAAAAUGUUAUGUGUACGUUUUGUAUGAUAUGUAUGUACCUCGUAGGUGCUUCACUGUUACUCCGAGGUAACGCAGUUGUCCAAAUGUAUAUUUUCUGGUUUAGGUGGAUUACUUUGUGUUAGCUAGAAUUGAAUGUUAAUGUAGCACGUUAGCAAGUCUCUGCUAGCAAGAAACUUUCAAGGGGACGUCUGAGGGUGUCGGGCCACAGAAUGCAGUGGACCAGAGUAUGGAAUUCCAUACACCGUGUUCCAGGUCCCCCAUUGCUUCUACACAUCGACACCAGCUGCAAAGUUGAUCAAACCUGCUCAGAUGAAAGUGAACCAAUGUGGCGGGGUUACGUUUGGUGGAAUUGAGAUUUUCCAGAAAGCCAAUAAUAACAAGGCAUCCACGGCUCUGGAGUUCGCCCUUGAAGCUGCAAAGAAACGCAGCUUUCCAUCCAGAGUGAGGGGAUCAAGGAGUCACCCACCAGAGGAAAUCCUAACAUGGAGGGCCUGUGGCACAACAUGUAGAAUGUCCUUCACAGCCUUGAGAAGGAAAGAGGGCUAGAUCCAGCAAACUGCUCCGAAUCCAAGCUGAUCUGGACCCAUUCACUGAGGGACGGAACAACACGAUGCAGUAACACCCCGAACAUGCAAAGAAUCUCUGUUCUGUCAACUAUGAGAUGCUGACAUCUUGGGCAUGGGUCAUGCUGGAGAACAGGUCUCUCCCCUGGACAGUGCAGAACCUGACAACUUUAAAGCUGUAAUGACCUUUAUUGCUGUAAUAAUUACCAAGUUACAGAGCCAGAUGAUGUUGCUUUAUCCUUUUAAUGGCAUUUUUUAACAAUUAGGAAUAUUGCACUGUUUGAGCAUGCUGCUGUAAUCCACACCCUACUCAAGCAAUCAAAGGUGGAAAGCUACACUUUCAACUGACUAUGCUCUCUCUCAAACUGGGCGACCUUGUUUGGUCUAAAGUCAAAGUGCACUCUGCGUCUCCCACAUGCUGUUACAUUGCAUGUGCACAGACACUCCACGGUUAUGAAGCCUUCUCCAGUGAUGCAACUUGUGAAUUUUCAUGCAGUUGCAUCACUGGAGAAGUCUUCAUAAAUGUGGAAGUGUCCAUGCACAUGUAAUGUAACAGCAUGUGGAAGAUGUGAAGUUCUCUGCCCUGACAACUUGGGACUCUGGCAGCAGGUACCUUACCUAAAAAGCUGAGCUGGGAUGGAGUGGCUGUAAAACAAGAGAGAUUGUACAGCUUUAUUUUAUUUCACUAAUAAACAACUGUCAAACAAA
This is a long non-coding RNA of Monopterus albus (swamp eel), 1299 nucleotides long. RefSeq lists it as uncharacterized. The transcript is spliced from 8 exons. NCBI's taxonomy places the organism in Eukaryota, Metazoa, Chordata, Actinopteri, Synbranchiformes, Synbranchidae. The record is from RefSeq and is a predicted model, not a curated record.